UGCCCUGUAGUGUAACCGGCAACACGUCUGAUUCUGGAUCAGAAGAGUUCAGGUUCGAGUCCUGACGGGGCAG
This 73-nucleotide transfer RNA is filed under the name Ignavibacteriae bacterium HGW-Ignavibacteriae-1. RNAcentral's name for it is "tRNA-Gln". It matches the Rfam family "tRNA". From Rfam's summary of the family: Transfer RNA (tRNA) molecules are approximately 80 nucleotides in length. Their secondary structure includes four short double-helical elements and three loops (D, anti-codon, and T loops). RNAcentral also lists the same sequence under 2 other names. The record is from RNAcentral. Lineage: Bacteria; Pseudomonadati; Ignavibacteriota.